ACUUUUUAUUUUUUUUUUAUUUUUAUUUUUUGUCUUUUGUCCUUUUAGGGCUGCAUCCACAGCAUAUGGAGGUUCCCAGGCUAGGGGUGGAAUCAAGGGCUACAGCUGCGGGCCUAGGCCACAGCCACAGCAACUCAGGAUCUGAGCCAUGUCUACAGCCUACACCACAGCUCAUGGCAAUGUUGAAUCCUUAACCCACUGAGGGAGGCCAGGGAUAGAACCCAUGAUCUUGUGGAUACUAGUCGGGUUCAUUAACCACUAAGCUAUGAUGAGAACUCCAAUAAUCUUUUAAAAUCGAAUAUAUACAUAACUUUGAAAAAUCAAAAUAUAGUUGAUUUACAAUGUUGUGUUAAUUUCUGCUAUACAGCAAAGUGAUUUGCUUAUACAUACAUUCUUUUUUAUAUUCUUUCCAUUAUGGUUUAUUGAAUGAUAUUGAGUAUAGCUCCCCAAUUAAACUUUAAUAAAUUUUUAAAAAACCCACAAGACUGUGGGCUUUGGAGACCUAGCACUGUUACCCACCAGCUGUAUGACACCAGCAAGCUACCUCAUGUGUGUCUGUGCCACAGAGUCCUCAUCUAUAAAACAGGGGUAAGGAGUUCCAGUUGUGGCUCAGUGGUAACAACCCGACUAGUAUCCAUGAGGAUGCGGGUUCAAUCCCUGGCCUCACUCAGUGGGUUAAGGAUCUGCAUUACCAUGAGCUGUGGCAUAGGUUGCAGACACAGCUUGGAUCUGGCAUUGCUCUGGCUGUGGUGUAGGGCAGCAACUGCAGCGGCAAUUCAACCCCUAGCCUGGGAACUUCUGUAUGCCACAAGUGCUAUCCUAAAAAGCAAAAUUAAUUAAUUAAUUAACCAGGCUAAUAAACAGGACUUAGCUUACUGGGUUGUGAGAAUAAGAAGAGUUAACAUCAAGUGCACAGAAUAAUACCUAGCACAUAAUACCUGUUCAAUACAUUUUUGCAACCAUAGUGAAUAUGACUGGUACUAUGUAAGGUUAGACAAGCCUGUUUUAACUUUAAAAUGACUCAGCAAUAGAACUCAGCUUUUACAGAAAGAGAUUAUGAACUGACUGACCAUGGGUUCAUGAGAUUAUUGUCAGUAAUUAGCUAGCUGAAUUCUUGGUAAACAUUCCUCAUGGCAUCUUGGUAAACCACAGUGCAACUCAGCCACCCACUACACUAAAGCAUCACUUCACUUCACAGGACUCUGCAAUUUAAAUGGAUGAGUGCCUGUUAGAACUAAAGCAUUUUAGGUGGAGUCUGACAAUAAAAUUACACCAAAUUAUACAGAGAGAAGUAUAUUUUUCUUAAAAAAAAAAACAACAAAAAAACUAUAUAGCAGGCCUUUAAGAAAUGUUGGCUGAAUGCAUGUAAAAUUCACUGUACAGAGGAACAUAAAUUUAAAAGCAGAGUGCCCCACUCUACUUUUUUAAAUCCCUAGACCAUUGCAGGAUAACUGUCACCACUGGAUGCAUUACUGCCCACGUUCCCAGGGUGAAAGGCUAUCUUAAAUUAUGUAGAAGGUACCUUGCAAGCCUACUUAAAGAAAAGUGGGGGGGGGGAAUCUGUCACAGGUUCUCGCUUAUCUUUCUCUAUUUUCUACAUUUCUCCUAAGUAACAGUCUCAUAGAAAAAUACCAGCAAAUCCAGAAUCAUCCUCUGAUGGAAUAAUGAAAUGUGAGGCGCUGAAGGAAAUAGGGCUUCCUAACAAUUCCACUUUACAGCUUCCUUACUGAGUGAAUCCUUUAUCUGGAGGCCCAAGCAGGGAGCAAGUUCCAGGGCUCCAAGUUCACAGGCCAGUGCUCUGCCUUAGGUGCACAUUUAAAGACCGAAGCUUAAGGUUCUUUUAUUUGGUGUUUUAUGCCUAGAUCAAACGCAUUUUAAUAUUAAAGAUGACCAUGUGUGCCUUUUGGCCUGUGAAAUCCAAAUAUACUUGGGAGAUCCUUAAGCUGUUUCAUUUAACAAUAAUCACUCGGGACCUCCAGACCAGGCCAAAUCUGGAAGCCAAACCAUCAGAAUGUCUGAAAUGCAAAUGUAAGGUAAUUAAUAAAAAUGCCAAUAGUUUCUUUGGCUAAAGCCUGGUUCAACAUUAAAAACUAGUCUAGCAGGAACUUUGAUGAGGAAAACUGAGUCAGAAACUCCCGUUACUCUUUUUCUCCUGAAGAAUCAUCCUUGCCCAAACUGGAGGCUGUUCACUCAGAAUCAUCAACAUCCCAAAAAUCCAGCAUCUAAGAUUUCAAUUCAGAGGACUGUAUUUUUGGAUGAACAGUGCUCAUACUGAUUAUUUUGCCCCUUUUAACAACACUUCUUUCCUUCUCAAUCAUCAUGUCCAGGUCUGGACUGUACCGUAUGCAGUAACAAUACGGAGUACGGUUAUGAAAGUGGGCUUGGCUAUCCCAGACCAGGUGUGAGUCUCCACUCCACUUGUCACCAGCUGUGUGGUCCUGGGGAGGUUACUUAAUCACUCUCUGACUCAGAUUCCUCGCCCUAAAAAUGGAGAUAAUAAAAAAAAAAAAAAAUGAAGAUAAUAAAGCCCUACCUCAUAAGACUGCUGAGAGGAUAAGUAAGUAAAUAGAUGAAAAGCCCUUAGCAAAAUAACCUGGCAGAGAGUAAGGAGUCUACACUUGCGUCCUCGUUAUGAGUAUGGUAGCGUGGUGCAGCAGAAAAAGGAAAAGGAGCUAGAAGUACAUUCUGUUCUCCUCAAGUAACAAAAACAACAACAAAUAUUUGGAAAAUGAGUUACGAACUAGACCGCAAAGAAUACAAACAUUUAUUUUAAGGCCUUGAAUUCUGGCUUUAAAUCAUUGCUCCCUACUUUGUACAAACUCUUUUCGUUAAUUACUUCAACUGCUCACUGCCAAGACUGGGAAAGUUGAUACAGACCUACUGUCUACCAGGCGAACACAUCGAGUGCUGCCACACAUAGAAGGUGGAUUCUACAGGGAUGGUAACCUGCAGGUACACUCCAUCAACAUCAAGUCAGCCAGAAGUCAUGAGGCGCCAUCUGUGUGUAUGGCGGGACCAUACAUAGAACCUACAGUGGAGCAAAAUGCAAUCCUGGAUCCCGGGAAACUGAGUGCAAGUUAUACGUAAAUACACUUUGGAGAAAUAGCUGCAAGGUUGUUUUUAUCAUGUAUGUUCACAUAUUUUAAUUUACCAAAACAACUUUUACCCGUCUCCUUAACCAGGAGGGUUCUGGUUUAAUCAGAAUAAUUAUGUUAAAGUGACCAUUAGAUCUAAUUGUUUAUAAUAGGGUUUUCACUCAUACUUCCCAGGUAUAAACCC
RNAcentral lists this long non-coding RNA (3279 nucleotides) under Sus scrofa (pig). RNAcentral's name for it is "lncRNA (ENSSSCG00055028700.1)". The record is from RNAcentral. Lineage: Eukaryota; Metazoa; Chordata; Mammalia; Artiodactyla; Suidae.